RNAcentral lists this ribosomal RNA (399 nucleotides) under uncultured bacterium. RNAcentral's name for it is "bacterial SSU rRNA". It matches the Rfam family "Bacterial small subunit ribosomal RNA", at positions 355 to 769 of the family's 1533-position model. The record is from RNAcentral.
UGGGGAAUAUUGCGCAAUGGGGGAAACCCUGACGCAGCAACGCCGCGUGAAGGAAGAAGGUUCUCGGAUUGUAAACUUCUUUUACUCGGGACGAAAAAAUGACGGUACCGGGUGAAUAAGCCACGGCUAACUACGUGCCAGCAGCCGCGGUAAUACGUAGGUGGCAAGCGUUGUCCGGAUUUACUGGGUGUAAAGGGCGAGUAGGCGGGACUGCAAGUCAGUAGUGAAAUACCACGGCUCAACCGUGGCACUGCUAUUGAAACUGUGGUUCUUGAGUAAUGGAGAGGCAGGCGGAAUUCCCGGUGUAGCGGUGGAAUGCGUAGAGAUCGGGAGGAACACCAGUGGCGAAGGCGGCCUGCUGGACAUCAACUGACGCUGAGGAGCGAAAGCGUGGGGAGC